GGCAGCCCCUAUGGCUGGCCGCGAGCGCGCUCAACACCGCGGUGAGCAUAUACUGGGACACGGAGCGCGACUGGGGCGUGCCCUGGCUCGGCGCAGGGCGCCUCCUGCCGUCGCCGGGCGCGAAACGGCGCCGCCUGUACGGCCCGCCGCGCCUGUACGCCGCCGCGGU
Molecule: ribosomal RNA, 169 nt
Filed under: Tetraselmis striata
Lineage: Eukaryota; Viridiplantae; Chlorophyta; Chlorodendrophyceae; Chlorodendrales; Chlorodendraceae
Description: partial Eukaryotic large subunit ribosomal RNA
Source: RNAcentral